Transfer RNA from Camelus ferus (Wild Bactrian camel), 72 nucleotides. It matches the Rfam family "tRNA". From Rfam's summary of the family: Transfer RNA (tRNA) molecules are approximately 80 nucleotides in length. Their secondary structure includes four short double-helical elements and three loops (D, anti-codon, and T loops). The record is from Rfam. NCBI's taxonomy places the organism in Eukaryota, Metazoa, Chordata, Mammalia, Artiodactyla, Camelidae.
GAGGGUGUAGCUCAGUGGUAGAGCACGUGCCUAGCGUGCACGAGGUCCUAGGUUCAAUCCCCAGUGCCUCCA